This 2921-nucleotide ribosomal RNA is filed under the name Staphylococcus aureus subsp. aureus CGS03. RNAcentral describes it as "bacterial LSU rRNA". It matches the Rfam family "Bacterial large subunit ribosomal RNA". Lineage: Bacteria; Bacillati; Bacillota; Bacilli; Caryophanales; Staphylococcaceae. The record is from RNAcentral.
GAUUAAGUUAUUAAGGGCGCACGGUGGAUGCCUUGGCACUAGAAGCCGAUGAAGGACGUUACUAACGACGAUAUGCUUUGGGGAGCUGUAAGUAAGCUUUGAUCCAGAGAUUUCCGAAUGGGGAAACCCAGCAUGAGUUAUGUCAUGUUAUCGAUAUGUGAAUACAUAGCAUAUCAGAAGGCACACCCGGAGAACUGAAACAUCUUAGUACCCGGAGGAAGAGAAAGAAAAUUCGAUUCCCUUAGUAGCGGCGAGCGAAACGGGAAGAGCCCAAACCAACAAGCUUGCUUGUUGGGGUUGUAGGACACUCUAUACGGAGUUACAAAGGACGACAUUAGACGAAUCAUCUGGAAAGAUGAAUCAAAGAAGGUAAUAAUCCUGUAGUCGAAAAUGUUGUCUCUCUUGAGUGGAUCCUGAGUACGACGGAGCACGUGAAAUUCCGUCGGAAUCUGGGAGGACCAUCUCCUAAGGCUAAAUACUCUCUAGUGACCGAUAGUGAACCAGUACCGUGAGGGAAAGGUGAAAAGCACCCCGGAAGGGGAGUGAAAUAGAACCUGAAACCGUGUGCUUACAAGUAGUCAGAGCCCGUUAAUGGGUGAUGGCGUGCCUUUUGUAGAAUGAACCGGCGAGUUACGAUUUGAUGCAAGGUUAAGCAGUAAAUGUGGAGCCGUAGCGAAAGCGAGUCUGAAUAGGGCGUUUAGUAUUUGGUCGUAGACCCGAAACCAGGUGAUCUACCCUUGGUCAGGUUGAAGUUCAGGUAACACUGAAUGGAGGACCGAACCGACUUACGUUGAAAAGUGAGCGGAUGAACUGAGGGUAGCGGAGAAAUUCCAAUCGAACCUGGAGAUAGCUGGUUCUCUCCGAAAUAGCUUUAGGGCUAGCCUCAAGUGAUGAUUAUUGGAGGUAGAGCACUGUUUGGACGAGGGGCCCCUCUCGGGUUACCGAAUUCAGACAAACUCCGAAUGCCAAUUAAUUUAACUUGGGAGUCAGAACAUGGGUGAUAAGGUCCGUGUUCGAAAGGGAAACAGCCCAGACCACCAGCUAAGGUCCCAAAAUAUAUGUUAAGUGGAAAAGGAUGUGGCGUUGCCCAGACAACUAGGAUGUUGGCUUAGAAGCAGCCAUCAUUUAAAGAGUGCGUAAUAGCUCACUAGUCGAGUGACACUGCGCCGAAAAUGUACCGGGGCUAAACAUAUUACCGAAGCUGUGGAUUGUCCUUUGGACAAUGGUAGGAGAGCGUUCUAAGGGCGUUGAAGCAUGAUCGUAAGGACAUGUGGAGCGCUUAGAAGUGAGAAUGCCGGUGUGAGUAGCGAAAGACGGGUGAGAAUCCCGUCCACCGAUUGACUAAGGUUUCCAGAGGAAGGCUCGUCCGCUCUGGGUUAGUCGGGUCCUAAGCUGAGGCCGACAGGCGUAGGCGAUGGAUAACAGGUUGAUAUUCCUGUACCACCUAUAAUCGUUUUAAUCGAUGGGGGGACGCAGUAGGAUAGGCGAAGCGUGCGAUUGGAUUGCACGUCUAAGCAGUAAGGCUGAGUAUUAGGCAAAUCCGGUACUCGUUAAGGCUGAGCUGUGAUGGGGAGAAGACAUUGUCUUCGAGUCGUUGAUUUCACACUGCCGAGAAAAGCCUCUAGAUAGAAAAUAGGUGCCCGUACCGCAAACCGACACAGGUAGUCAAGAUGAGAAUUCUAAGGUGAGCGAGCGAACUCUCGUUAAGGAACUCGGCAAAAUGACCCCGUAACUUCGGGAGAAGGGGUGCUCUUUAGGGUUAACGCCCAGAAGAGCCGCAGUGAAUAGGCCCAAGCGACUGUUUAUCAAAAACACAGGUCUCUGCUAAACCGUAAGGUGAUGUAUAGGGGCUGACGCCUGCCCGGUGCUGGAAGGUUAAGAGGAGUGGUUAGCUUCUGCGAAGCUACGAAUCGAAGCCCCAGUAAACGGCGGCCGUAACUAUAACGGUCCUAAGGUAGCGAAAUUCCUUGUCGGGUAAGUUCCGACCCGCACGAAAGGCGUAACGAUUUGGGCACUGUCUCAACGAGAGACUCGGUGAAAUCAUAGUACCUGUGAAGAUGCAGGUUACCCGCGACAGGACGGAAAGACCCCGUGGAGCUUUACUGUAGCCUGAUAUUGAAAUUCGGCACAGCUUGUACAGGAUAGGUAGGAGCCUUUGAAACGUGAGCGCUAGCUUACGUGGAGGCGCUGGUGGGAUACUACCCUAGCUGUGUUGGCUUUCUAACCCGCACCACUUAUCGUGGUGGGAGACAGUGUCAGGCGGGCAGUUUGACUGGGGCGGUCGCCUCCUAAAAGGUAACGGAGGCGCUCAAAGGUUCCCUCAGAAUGGUUGGAAAUCAUUCAUAGAGUGUAAAGGCAUAAGGGAGCUUGACUGCGAGACCUACAAGUCGAGCAGGGUCGAAAGACGGACUUAGUGAUCCGGUGGUUCCGCAUGGAAGGGCCAUCGCUCAACGGAUAAAAGCUACCCCGGGGAUAACAGGCUUAUCUCCCCCAAGAGUUCACAUCGACGGGGAGGUUUGGCACCUCGAUGUCGGCUCAUCGCAUCCUGGGGCUGUAGUCGGUCCCAAGGGUUGGGCUGUUCGCCCAUUAAAGCGGUACGCGAGCUGGGUUCAGAACGUCGUGAGACAGUUCGGUCCCUAUCCGUCGUGGGCGUAGGAAAUUUGAGAGGAGCUGUCCUUAGUACGAGAGGACCGGGAUGGACAUACCUCUGGUGUACCAGUUGUCGUGCCAACGGCAUAGCUGGGUAGCUAUGUGUGGACGGGAUAAGUGCUGAAAGCAUCUAAGCAUGAAGCCCCCCUCAAGAUGAGAUUUCCCAACUUCGGUUAUAAGAUCCCUCAAAGAUGAUGAGGUUAAUAGGUUCGAGGUGGAAGCAUGGUGACAUGUGGAGCUGACGAAUACUAAUCGAUCGAAGACUUAAUCAA